AUUCGUGAGACUUUAGGGUAUUUCUUGGCAACGCUGUGAGUACUACAGCACCCACCUGGUUCAGUCAGCAAAACUCAGUCACGUAAACUUAGCUAACAGGCGCCGAAUGUCAAAACAAACAUCAAGAUGAAAUCAAAACAUUGGCCCCCAAAAGAAAUCCUCUACCCGAGAUAAAUCUUACAAAACAAGGCGAACGGGGAAUGCCAGGAGAAAACAAACGGGAAAUCUUGACCAAUCAACAACAGAUAACCAGUGAAAAAUACGAAAUACCGGCACAACAGAGUGGUACCCAACUGAGACCACACAACAGCGAAACCAAACAGAUCAGUCACGUCACAGGAUGCAAAGUCACAAAGGGACUCGUAAGAGACAAGCUCAGGAAACGCAAAGUCUCGAGGUAAUGUUUUACAUUGCCACUAUAAUGGUCCCUCAAAGAGAAUUUAUUAAUAAGGCUCUGUACUUAUUAUAGUCAAUAAAUAUUCAAUUACUA
Long non-coding RNA from Anthonomus grandis grandis, 490 nucleotides. RefSeq lists it as uncharacterized. NCBI's taxonomy places the organism in Eukaryota, Metazoa, Arthropoda, Insecta, Coleoptera, Curculionidae. The transcript is spliced from 2 exons. The record is from RefSeq and is a predicted model, not a curated record.